Non-coding RNA from Allomyces macrogynus ATCC 38327, 77 nucleotides. NCBI's taxonomy places the organism in Eukaryota, Fungi, Blastocladiomycota, Blastocladiomycetes, Blastocladiales, Blastocladiaceae. The record is from the annotation of a GenBank genome assembly.
UCCGCAAUGGUCCAGUGGUUAAGGAUUUCACGCUCUCCACCGUGACGGCCAGGGUUCCGAUUCCCCUGUUGGCGGAG